AUGUCGUGGUGUAGGCAUUGGUGUUGUAAAGCCUUAUAUCUGUGCCAUGCCUCAUAGAGAGACUCCAAUUCAUGUUGUUUAAAACCAGAUAUUUCAUUUUCGAACUU
This is a non-coding RNA of Beta vulgaris subsp. vulgaris (sugar beet), 107 nucleotides long. Lineage: Eukaryota; Viridiplantae; Streptophyta; Magnoliopsida; Caryophyllales; Amaranthaceae. The record is from Rfam.